This 891-nucleotide ribosomal RNA is filed under the name uncultured bacterium. RNAcentral's name for it is "bacterial SSU rRNA". It matches the Rfam family "Bacterial small subunit ribosomal RNA", at positions 505 to 1397 of the family's 1533-position model. The record is from RNAcentral.
GUGCCAGCAGCCGCGGUAAUACGUAGGUCCCGAGCGUUGUCCGGAUUUAUUGGGCGUAAAGCGAGCGCAGGUGGUUUAAUAAGUCUGAUGUAAAAGGCAGUGGCUCAACCAUUGUGUGCAUUGGAAACUGUUAGACUUGAGUGCAGUAGAGGAGAGUGGAAUUCCAUGUGUAGCGGUGAAAUGCGUAGAUAUAUGGAGGAACACCGGUGGCGAAAGCGGCUCUCUGGACUGUAACUGACACUGAGGCUCGAAAGCGUGGGUAGCAAACAGGAUUAGAUACCCUGGUAGUCCACGCCGUAAACGAUGAGUGCUAGUUGUUUGGGGCUAUCCAGCCCUAAGUGACGCAGCAAACGCAUUAAGCACUCCGCCUGGGGAGUACGACCGCAAGGUUGAAACUCAAAGGAAUUGACGGGGGCCCGCACAAGCGGUGGAGCAUGUGGUUUAAUUCGAAGCAACGCGAAGAACCUUACCAGGUCUUGACAUACCAGUGCUAUUCUUAGAGAUAAGAAGUUACUUCGGUACACUGGAUACCGGUGGUGCAUGGUUGUCGUCAGCUCGUGUCGUGAGAUGUUGGGUUAAGUCCCGCAACGAGCGCAACCCCUAUUGUUAGUUGCCAUCAUUAAGUUGGGCACUCUAGCGAGACUGCCGGUAAUAAACCGGAGGAAGGUGGGGAUGACGUCAAAUCAUCAUGCCCCUUAUGACCUGGGCUACACACGUGCUACAAUGGUUGGUACAACGAGUCGCAAGCUAGUGAUAGCAAGCUAAUCUCUUAAAGCCAAUCUCAGUUCGGAUUGUAGGCUGCAACUCGCCUACAUGAAGUCGGAAUCGCUAGUAAUCGCGGAUCAGCACGCCGCGGUGAAUACGUUCCCGGGCCUUGUACACACCGCCCGU